Molecule: non-coding RNA, 207 nt
Filed under: Streptomonospora alba
Lineage: Bacteria; Bacillati; Actinomycetota; Actinomycetes; Streptosporangiales; Nocardiopsidaceae
Source: RNAcentral
GUACGUUCAUUGGGCCGUGGUGUUCGGGAAGUCCGGUUCUAAACCGGCGCGGCCCUCGCCACUGUGAGCGGGAAGCCCAAUGCCCCGACUGCCGCCGACGCGGCGGUCGGCAAGGCCACUGGGGGCGGCAGCGACGCCGCCCCUGGGAAGGCCGGCGGAGGGCGGCGACCCGUCAGCCAGGAGACCGGCCACGGCGUGACGACCGUC